This is a long non-coding RNA of Chelonia mydas (Green sea turtle), 236 nucleotides long. RefSeq lists it as uncharacterized. The record is from RefSeq and is a predicted model, not a curated record. NCBI's taxonomy places the organism in Eukaryota, Metazoa, Chordata, Testudines, Cheloniidae. The transcript has 3 exons.
UCCAUCUUAAAUCUGGUAUUUUUCCAUUUAGAAGGUGGGGUGGGGACCCAGAGAGACGACAAAUUCCCGCCUUGUGCCAAAGCUAUAAAAAGGGAUGGAACAGGACAAAAGGGUCCCAGCCAUGAGAAAACCCUUGCUUACCACCUGAGAUGUCUGCUGGAACUAACAAGGACUGUACCAGGGGAAAGGAUUGGGCCCAGACUAGGAAGGAGUCUUGUCUGUGAAAGAAGUGUAUA